GAUGAACGCUGGCGGCGUGCCUAAUACAUGCAAGUCGAGCGAACAGACGAGGAGCUUGCUCCACUGACGUUAGCGGCGGACGGGUGAGUAACACGUGGAUAACCUACCUAUAAGACUGGGAUAACUUCGGGAAACCGGAGCUAAUACCGGAUAAUAUAUUGAACAGCAUGGUUCAAUAGUGAAAGACGGUUUUGCUGUCACUUAUAGAUGGAUCCGCGCCGCAUUAGCUAGUUGGUAAGGUAACGGCUUACCAAGGCAACGAUGCGUAGCCGACCUGAGAGGGUGAUCGGCCACACUGGAACUGAGACACGGUCCAGACUCCUACGGGAGGCAGCAGUAGGGAAUCUUCCGCAAUGGGCGAAAGCUUGACGGAGCAACGCCGCGUGAGUGAUGAAGGUCUUCGGAUCGUAAAACUCUGUUAUUAGGGAAGAACAAAUGUGUAAGUAACUAUGCACGUCUUGACGGUACCUAAUCAGAAAGCCACGGCUAACUACGUG
This 497-nucleotide ribosomal RNA is filed under the name uncultured bacterium. Its description in RNAcentral is "partial 16S ribosomal RNA". It matches the Rfam family "Bacterial small subunit ribosomal RNA", at positions 28 to 507 of the family's 1533-position model. The record is from RNAcentral.